UACGUAGGGGGCAAGCGUUGUCCGGAUUUAUUGGGCGUAAAGAGCGUGUAGGCGGCCAGAUAGGUCAGCUGUGAAAACUCGAGGCUCAACCUCGAGAUGUCGGCUGAAACCGUCUGGCUAGAGUCCGGAAGAGGAGAGUGGAAUUCCUGGUGUAGCGGUGAAAUGCGUAGAGAUCUGGAGGAACACCCGUGGCGAAGGCGGCUCCCUGGUCCGUCCUUGACGCUGAGACGCGAAAGCGUGGGGAGCAAACGGG
RNAcentral lists this ribosomal RNA (253 nucleotides) under uncultured bacterium. RNAcentral's name for it is "partial 16S ribosomal RNA". It matches the Rfam family "Bacterial small subunit ribosomal RNA", at positions 524 to 776 of the family's 1533-position model. The record is from RNAcentral.